This 234-nucleotide non-coding RNA is filed under the name Tetragenococcus halophilus. RNAcentral describes it as "T-box sequence". It matches the Rfam family "T-box leader". From Rfam's summary of the family: Uncharged tRNA acts as the effector for transcription antitermination of genes in the T-box leader family. T-boxes are found upstream of many aminoacyl-tRNA synthetase genes and some amino acid biosynthetic genes usually in Gram-positive bacteria. The anticodon of a specific tRNA base pairs to a specifier sequence within the T-box motif, and the NCCA acceptor tail of the tRNA base pairs to a conserved bulge in the T-box antiterminator hairpin. The record is from RNAcentral. Lineage: Bacteria; Bacillati; Bacillota; Bacilli; Lactobacillales; Enterococcaceae.
AGAAUUCCGUUGAUGAGAAGAGUAGUUUCUGAUCUUUUUUUUAGAGAGACCUUGUAAGGUGAAAAAGGUUAUAAGAUAAGAAAUGAAGAUGGUCUCGGAGGAUAAGUCAUCGAUAGGUAGAUGAUUUCGAAAGGUUCAAUCGUUAUCUUGAAUGCCAUUUCUUUGAUUUGAGAUGGGUUAAGAGAAGCUUUAGCUUCUAAAACAAGGUGGUACCGUGAAAAUUUCGCCCUUUUA